Molecule: ribosomal RNA, 503 nt
Filed under: uncultured bacterium
Lineage: Bacteria
Description: partial 16S ribosomal RNA
Rfam family: Bacterial small subunit ribosomal RNA
Source: RNAcentral
AUUGAACGCUGGCGGCAGGCUUAACACAUGCAAGUCGAGCGGGGUGAUGGUGCUUGCACUAUCACUUAGCGGCGGACGGGUGAGUAAUGCUUAGGAAUCUGCCUAUUAGUGGGGGACAACAUCUCGAAAGGGAUGCUAAUACCGCAUACGUCCUACGGGAGAAAGCAGGGGAUCACUUGUGACCUUGCGCUAAUAGAUGAGCCUAAGUCGGAUUAGCUAGUUGGUGGGGUAAAGGCCUACCAAGGCGACGAUCUGUAGCGGGUCUGAGAGGAUGAUCCGCAUCACUGGGACUGAGGCGCGGCCCAGAGGCCUACGGGAGGCAGCAGUGGGGAAUAUUGGACAAUGGGGGGAACCCUGGUCCAGCCAUGCCGCGUGUGUGAAGAAGGCCUUAUGGUUGUAAAGCACUUUAAGCGAGGAGGAGGCUCUUUUGGUUAAUGCCCAAGAUGAGUGGACGUUACUCGCAGAAUAAGCACCGGCUAACUCUGUGCCAGCCGCCGCAGUAA